RNAcentral lists this ribosomal RNA (624 nucleotides) under Triticum aestivum (bread wheat). Its description in RNAcentral is "partial small subunit ribosomal RNA". Lineage: Eukaryota; Viridiplantae; Streptophyta; Magnoliopsida; Poales; Poaceae. The record is from RNAcentral.
AUGCAAGCUCUUUGAGAUGUCUUGGAGGUAUGCGAGUUGGUUGACUUGGGUUUUAUUGGCAUCCCGCACACAUAUGAUAAUAUGAGGGCCGGUAGUGCCAAUGUUAAAGUUCGGCUGGACAGGGCAGUUGCAAAUCAUGCUUGGAGAAAUAUGUUUGAUAACACUUCUGUCAAGCACCUCAUAUCCCCAUGUUCAGAUCAUGUCCCAAUUCAUAUUUGUUGUGACGUACAUAAUGACCAGCCUACUAAAUCACGUAUAAGGAGGUACGAGGUUAUGUGGGAAAGAGAACCGGCUUUGCAAGAAGUAAUAGCGAAAGCAUGGGCUGAUGCUGGCACGAAAAACUCGCUUGGUGAUGUACAUGCAGCUCUCAGAGGUACUAUGCGCAGGCUGUGCGAGUGGAGUAAGUCAAAAUUUGGUAGUGUCACACGCGAGAUAGAAAAAUCUCGAACUCAGCUGGAGCAGCUCAUGUUAAUGAAUGCAGAUAGAAUGGAAAUACGAAGUGUGAUGGACAGAAUGAAUGAGCUUUUAUAUCGAGAAGAGCUCAUGUGGAUGCAACACUCUCGUAUUGCCUGGUUGAAAGAUGGCGAUAGAAACACGAAGUUUUUUCAUGCAAAAUCAGUGUAG